CCUACGGGAGGCAGCAGUAGGGAAUUUUCGUCAAUGGGCGCAAGCCUGAACGAGCGAUGCCGCGUGAGUGAAGAAGGCCUUCGGGUCGUAAAGCUCUGUUGCGGGGGAAAAAAGGCAGCAUCAGGAAAUGGGUGCUGACUGAUGGUGCCCCGCCAGAAAGUCACGGCUAACUACGUGCCAGCAGCCGCGGUAAUACGGAGGUGGCGAGCGUUAUCCGGAAGGGUUGGGCGUAAAGGGUGCGUAGGCGGUCCUGCAAGUCCGGAGUGAAACGCAUGAGCUAAACGCAUGCAUGGCUUUGGAAUCGGGAGGACUGGAGAGCAGGAGAGGGCGGUGGAACUCCGUGUGGAGCAGUAAAAUGCGUAGAUAUAUGGAAGAACACCAGUGGCGAAGGCGGCCGCAUGGCCUGUUGCUGACGCUGAGGCACGAAAGCGUGGGGAGCAAAUAGGAUUAGAUACCCUAGUAGUC
Molecule: ribosomal RNA, 465 nt
Filed under: uncultured bacterium
Lineage: Bacteria
Description: partial 16S ribosomal RNA
Rfam family: Bacterial small subunit ribosomal RNA
Source: RNAcentral